Molecule: long non-coding RNA, 3314 nt
Organism: Oncorhynchus nerka (sockeye salmon)
Lineage: Eukaryota; Metazoa; Chordata; Actinopteri; Salmoniformes; Salmonidae
Exons: 2
Source: RefSeq, a predicted model, not a curated record
UUAGAGCUAGAUGUCCUUUAGUCCUUCCUCAUCUCGCUCUCUCUAUCGCUCUCCAUCUCUUGCUCCCCCUCGCUCUUCUCUCUGUCUCUCGCUGUAACCCCCCCUCUCUUUCUCUCUGCACCUGAAGACAUCCGUCCAUCUGCCAAAUCCUCCUUCAUCAAGUGCUGUCCAGAGGAGAUCUAUCCGCUGCUUUCAACACCGUGAACCAUCAGAUCCUCCUCUCAGGGCUGGGUGUCUCAGGCUCUACACACUCUUAGAUUGCGUCCUGCCUGGCAGGUCCCUCCUACCAGGUGAUGUGGAGAGGAUCUGAUGCACCACAUGCUCUUACUACUGGUGUCCUCCAGGGCUCGGUUCUAGGCCCUCUUCUGUUCUCUAUACACAGUCACUCGGCACGUCAUAUCCUCACAUGGUCUCUUCAUAUCAUUGCUAUGCUGAUGACACUGAACUACUUUUCUCCUUACCCCUUUAUGACACCCAGGUGGCGACACCUCGACAAGAUGGAGCUGCUCUUCCCCUUGGGGGAGACCUGCCCACUCCACGGUGUCCCCCUCCCAGAGUGAAAAGAACCUUGACGUGAUCCUGGUCAACAUUCUGUCAUUUUCUCCAAACAUCAAAACAGGGACUUGGUCCUGUAGGUUCAUACGCUACAAUGUCUGUGAACAGUCAACUUUAUACAUAUAAAGACAAAGUGGAGUCGCAAUUAGGGCUGCAGAAUUCCCUGGUUUUCCUGAAAUACAUUCCCAGAAUAAGAAGGGAAUAAGCAGGAACAUCAAUCUUUUGCUUCCAGACAAACUAAACACCUUCUUUUCCGCUUUGAGGAUAAUACAGUGCCACCAAAGACUGUAGGCUCUCCUUCUCCGUGGCCGACGUGAGUAAAAUAUAUAAACGUCUUUACCCUCGCAAGGCUGCCGGUCCAGAAGGCAUCCCUAGCCGCAUCCUCAGAGCAUGCGCAGAACAGCUGGCUGGUGUGUUUACAGACUCGGGGCUCCCGAGUGGUGCAGCAGCCUAAAGCACUGUAUCUCAGUGCAAGAGGCAUCAUUACAGUUCCUGGUUUGAAUCCAGGCUGUGUCACAUCGGCAGUGAUUGGGAGUACCAUAGGGCGGCACACAUUUGGCCCAUCGUCGUCCGGUUUUGGCCGGGGUAGGCCGUCAUUGUAAAUAAGAAUUUGUUUUUAACUGACUUGCCUAGUUAAAUAAAGGUUCAAUUUAAAAAAUAAAAAUAAAUAAACAUAUUCAAUCAAUCCCUAUCCCAGUCUGCUGUCCCCACAUGCUUCAAUAUGGCCACCAUUGUUCCUGUUCCCAAGAAAGCAAAGGUAACUGAACAAAAUGACUAUCGCCCCGUAGCACUCACUUCUGUCAUUAUGGAGUGCUUUGAGAGACUAGUCAAUGAUAUCACCUCCACCCUACAUGUCACCCUAGACCCACUUCAAUUUGCUUACCACCCCAAUAGGUCCACAGACGAUGCAAUCGCCAUCAAAUUGUACACUGCCCUAUCCCACCUGGACAAGAGGAAUACCUAUGUAAGAAUGCUGUUCAUUCACUACAGCUCAGCAUUCAACACUAUAGUACCCUCAAAACUCAUCAUAAAGCUUGAGACCCUGGGUCUCGACCCCGCCCUGUGCAACUGGGUCCUGGACUUCCUGAUGGACCACCCCCAGGUGGUGGUGAAGGUAGGAAACAACAUCUCCACUCUGCUGAUCCUCAACACUGGGGCCCCACAAGGGUGUGUUCUCAGCCCCCUCCUGUACUCUCUGUUCACCCAUGACUGCGUGGUCAUGCAUGACUCCAACUAAAUCAUCAAGUUUGCAGACAACACAACAGUGGUAGGCUUGAUUACCAACGAUAAACAAGACAGCCUACAGGGAGGAGGUGAGGAUUCUCGGAGUAUGGUGUCAGGAAAAUAACCUCUCACUCAAUGUCAGCAAAACAAAAGAGAUGACUCUGGACUUCAGGAAACAGCAAAGGGAGUACCCCCCUAUCAACAUCGAUGGGACAGCAGUGGAGAAGGUGGAAAGAGCAAGGCUCUCCAGAAGGUGGUGCGGUCUGCAAACGUAUCACCGGGAGCAAACUACCUGCCCUCCAGGACACCUACAGCACCCGAUGUCAAAGGAAGGCAAAAAAGAUAACCAAGGACAAUAACCACCCGAGCAACUGCCUGUUCACCCCGCUUCCAUCUAGAAGGCGAGGUCAGUGCAGGUGCAUCAAAGCUGGGACCGAGAGACUGAAAAACAGCUUCUAUCUCAAGACCAUCAGAUUGUUAAACAGCCAUCACUAACAUAGAGAGGCUGCUGCCUACUUACAGACUUGAUAUCAUUGGCUACUUUAAUAAAUGGAACACUAGUCACUUUAAUAAAGCCACUUUAAGAAUGUUUACAUUUCUCGCAUUACUCAUCUCAUAUGUAUAUACUGUAUACUGUAUCCUUCACUCUCUAUUCUAUCUAUUACAUCUUAGCCGCUCAUCCAUAUAUUUUUAUAUUUAUAUAUUCUUAUCCCAUUCCUUUACUAGAUUGUGUGUAUUAGGUUUUGUUGUGGAAUUGUUGAUAUUACCUGUUAGAUACUGCUGCACUGUCAGAUCUAGAAGCAUAAGCAUUUCACUACACUCACAAUAACAUCUGUGUAUGUGACCAAUAAGAUUGGAAUUGAUUUGAUAUGAAUACACACAGCAUGGACCCUACAGUACUAUGCCCUGAGGAAACUGUGGUGUCUGUCUGACUGUUGUGUCGGUUUGACUGCCGAUCUGUCUGCCUGUAGUGGUGUGGAGUUGGGUUGGGUUGUUGCCGAAACAUCUCCAUUGUGACUACUGAUAAUACACCAAAGUAAUACUUCAUUUGUAAGUGCUGGCCGUCUUUAUCUUACAAGCCAUGUUAAAAGACAUGGAGAUCUCUGGAAGAGCUGGGAAUGAUCCCUUGGGGGAUUGUUCACCACAAAUGAAAUCCUUGAAUCAUGAACACUCUGAAGGUGAACUGCUCCCUAUAUGAAAUUGUAUGCCUGAACUUCAUGUAUGUUUUGUCCUCCCACUGUGAAUAAUGAGUGGAUGUACAAUCUCACAUUUUUGAUUUAUCUUCGAACUGCAUGUUUUUCAGGUGGCAAUUUAGCUUUUUGUAAAUAUCUGAAAUUAAUGCAAAGACGGAGCAUUGUGAGAAGACAUUACGUAUCCUCUCCAGACGGUAUUAUGUCAAAGGGAAAUUGUAUUUUCCCAGCUAGAUAUAAUUAAUUACUUCUUGCAGAGAGUCAGAGGCGCACAUACGGCUCACACAUUGUGUGUACAAAUUGCAUUUUCUGUUUCAAUAAAGCUUGCCACACAAGAGAAAUAUA